RNAcentral lists this transfer RNA (71 nucleotides) under Loxodonta africana (African savanna elephant). It matches the Rfam family "tRNA". Rfam says of the family: Transfer RNA (tRNA) molecules are approximately 80 nucleotides in length. The record is from Rfam by way of RNAcentral. Lineage: Eukaryota; Metazoa; Chordata; Mammalia; Proboscidea; Elephantidae.
GUAUUGGUGGUUCAGCGGUAGAAUUCUCACCUCCCAUGCUGGAGACCUGGGUUCAAUUACCAGCCAAUGCU